CGUUCUCCCCGUGCCUUCUUGUGUUUUCUCCGAGAUCUUCGGUUUCCUCCCACACUCCAAAGACGUGCAAGUUUGUAGGUUAAUUGGCUUGUUAAAUGUAAAACAUUGUCCAUAGUGCGUGUAGGGUUAAUCGUGGAAGUGUUUGGA
Molecule: long non-coding RNA, 147 nt
Organism: Amblyraja radiata (thorny skate)
Lineage: Eukaryota; Metazoa; Chordata; Chondrichthyes; Rajiformes; Rajidae
Exons: 3
Source: RefSeq, a predicted model, not a curated record